UGAGGAAUAUUGGUCAAUGGUCGGGAGACUGAACCAGCCAAGCCGUGUGAGGGAAGAAGGUACAGAGUAUCGUAAACCUCUUUUGUCAGGGAACAAAAGGCGCCACGUGUGGCGCUCCGAGUGUACCUGAAGAAAAAGCAUCGGCUAACUCCGUGCCAGCAGCCGCGGUAAUACGGAGGAUGCGAGCGUUAUCCGGAUUUAUUGGGUUUAAAGGGUGCGUAGGCGGCGAGUUAAGUCAGCGGUAAAAGCCCGGGGCUCAACCCGGCCCGCCGUGAACUGCUGCUUGAGUUGAGAGAAGUAGGCGGAAUGCGCGGUGUAGCGGUGAAAUGCUUAGAUAUCGCGCAGAACUCCGAUUGCGAAGGCAGCCUACCGGCUCUACACUGACGCUGAGGCACGAAAGCGUGGGUAUCGAACAGGAUUAGAUACC
RNAcentral lists this ribosomal RNA (427 nucleotides) under uncultured bacterium. Its description in RNAcentral is "bacterial SSU rRNA". It matches the Rfam family "Bacterial small subunit ribosomal RNA", at positions 355 to 786 of the family's 1533-position model. The record is from RNAcentral.